UGGGGAAUAUUGCACAAUGGAGGGAACUCUGAUGCAGCGACGCCGCGUGAACGAAGAAGGCUUUCGAGUCGUAAAGUUCUUUUAUAUGGGAAGAUAAUGACGGUACCAUAAGAAAAAGCCCCGGCUAACUACGUGCCAGCAGCCGCGGUAAUACGUAGGGGGCUAGCGUUAGCCGGAAUCACUGGGCGUAAAGGGUUCGCAGGCGGAAAUGCAAGUCAGGUGUAAAAGGCAGUAGCUUAACUACUGUAAGCAUUUGAAACUGCAUAUCUUGAGAAGAGUAGAGUUAAGUGAAAUUUGUAGUAUAGCAGUGAAAUGCGUAGAUAUGAAGAAGGAUACCGGUGGCGAAGGCGACUUACGGGGCUCAUUCUUACGCUGAGAAACGAUAGGGUGGAUAGCAAACAGG
This 403-nucleotide ribosomal RNA is filed under the name bacterium. RNAcentral describes it as "partial 16S ribosomal RNA". It matches the Rfam family "Bacterial small subunit ribosomal RNA", at positions 355 to 776 of the family's 1533-position model. The record is from RNAcentral.